Molecule: ribosomal RNA, 301 nt
Filed under: uncultured bacterium
Lineage: Bacteria
Description: partial 16S ribosomal RNA
Rfam family: Bacterial small subunit ribosomal RNA
Source: RNAcentral
CAGUAGCCGCGGGAAUACGUAGGUGGCAAGCGUUGUCCGGAAUUAUUGGGCGUAAAGGGCUCGCAGGCGGUUUCUUAAGUCUGAUGUGAAAGCCCCCGGCUCAACCGGGGAGGGUCAUUGGAAACUGGGAAACUUGAGUGCAGAAGAGGAGAGUGGAAUUCCACGUGUAGCGGUGAAAUGCGUAGAGAUGUGGAGGAACACCAGUGGCGAAGGCGACUCUCUGGUCUGUAACUGACGCUGAGGAGCGAAAGCGUGGGGAGCGAGCAGGAUUAGAUACCCCUGUAGUCCCUGUCUCUUAUAC